Molecule: ribosomal RNA, 468 nt
Filed under: uncultured bacterium
Lineage: Bacteria
Description: partial 16S ribosomal RNA
Rfam family: Bacterial small subunit ribosomal RNA
Source: RNAcentral
GACGAACGCUGGCGGCGUGCUUAACACAUGCAAGUCGAACGGAAAGGCCCUGCUUUUGUGGGGUGCUCGAGUGGCGAACGGGUGAGUAACACGUGAGUAACCUGCCCUUGACUUUGGGAUAACUUCAGGAAACUGGGGCUAAUACCGGAUAGGAGCUCCUGCUGCAUGGUGGGGGUUGGAAAGUUUCGGCGGUUGGGGAUGGACUCGCGGCUUAUCAGCUUGUUGGUGGGGUAGUGGCUUACCAAGGCUUUGACGGGUAGCCGGCCUGAGAGGGUGACCGGCCACAUUGGGACUGAGAUACGGCCCAGAAGCCUACGGGAGGCAGCAGUGGGGAAUAUUGCAAAAUGGGCGGAAGCCUGAUGCAGCAACGCCGCGUGCGGGAUGACGGCCUUCGGGUUGUAAACCGCUUUCGCCUGUGACGAAGCGUGAGUGACGGUAAUGGGUAAAGAAGCACCGGCUAACUACGUG